UACAGGGGGUGCAAACGUUGCUCGGAAUUAUUGGGCGUAAAGCGCGCGUAGGCGGCUACCUAAGUCGGAUGUGAAAGCCCCUGGCUUAACUGGGGAAGUGCACCCGAAACUGAGUAGCUAGAGUGCAAAAGAGGGUCGCGGAAUUCCCGGUGUAGAGGUGAAAUUCGUAGAUAUCGGGAGGAACACCGGUGGCGAAGGCGGCGACCUGGGUUACACUGACGCUGAGGCGCGAAAGCGUGGGGAGCAAACAGG
This 252-nucleotide ribosomal RNA is filed under the name uncultured bacterium. RNAcentral describes it as "partial 16S ribosomal RNA". It matches the Rfam family "Bacterial small subunit ribosomal RNA", at positions 524 to 776 of the family's 1533-position model. The record is from RNAcentral.